RNAcentral lists this unclassified non-coding RNA (534 nucleotides) under Hevea brasiliensis (rubber tree). Lineage: Eukaryota; Viridiplantae; Streptophyta; Magnoliopsida; Malpighiales; Euphorbiaceae. The record is from RNAcentral.
AUUGCCGAGCCACAAUCAACAGAUCCUCCAAACUUUCUCUCCACUCAGGGUAAGAGUCCGUGGUCUUUUCAAGUAUGCCCACCAAAUCUCCGGCAAAUAUGCCUAAAUCAGAAUCAACUUCUUCCUUUAACUUGUCGAAUUUUGCCCUGAUUGCCACCAUAACUUCCUCCAUAUGACCGAAUGCCCGAGACCUCCAAACAGGAAAAGGCCGGACUCCUUUGGAAUUGAGCUCGUGAGAGAAGCUCUUGACAUCUGGGGCCUUCUUCUUCCGACCACUCGUUACACGCAGUAUUGCCUGGAAACGUGGAGAUUGCAAUUCCUUGGCAAAAGUUGCAUGGUUACUCUCCAACGGUGGAUUGACUGAUGAUGGAUAUUUCAAUGAUUUGGACUGAUUCCAUCCAAACUUUUUCCCUGGGUCCAUGGACGACGCACUAUGAAUAGGAAUGGCCCAUUUAAGCCUUGUCGUCUCGACAGCACCGUCUUUAUGAUCCUCCUCAUUUACAGCAUCGGUAUUAUUAUUGCCGAGAUUGGAAG